This 642-nucleotide ribosomal RNA is filed under the name uncultured bacterium. Its description in RNAcentral is "bacterial SSU rRNA". It matches the Rfam family "Bacterial small subunit ribosomal RNA", at positions 83 to 720 of the family's 1533-position model. The record is from RNAcentral.
UUUUCGGACCUAGCGGCGGACGGGUGAGUAAUGCGUAGGAAGCUACCCGAUAGAGGGGGAUACCAGUUGGAAACGACUGUUAAUACCGCAUAAUGUCUACGGACCAAAGUGUGGGACCUUCGGGCCACAUGCUAUCGGAUGCGCCUACGUGGGAUUAGCUAGUUGGUGGGGUAAUGGCUCACCAAGGCGACGAUCCCUAGCUGGUUUGAGAGGAUGAUCAGCCACACUGGAACUGAGACACGGUCCAGACUCCUACGGGAGGCAGCAGUGGGGAAUAUUGGACAAUGGGCGCAAGCCUGAUCCAGCCAUGCCGCGUGUGUGAAGAAGGCCUUCGGGUUGUAAAGCACUUUCAGCGAGGAGGAAGGGUUAGUAGUUAAUAGCUGCUAAUUUUGACGUUACUCGCAGAAGAAGCACCGGCUAACUCUGUGCCAGCAGCCGCGGUAAUACAGAGGGUGCGAGCGUUAAUCGGAAUUACUGGGCGUAAAGCGCACGUAGGCGGUUUUUUAAGUCAGAUGUGAAAGCCCCGGGCUCAACCUGGGAAUUGCAUUUGAAACUGGAAAACUAGAGUGUGUGAGAGGGGGGUAGAACUCCAAGUGUAGCGGUGAAAUGCNUAGAGAUUUUGGAGGAAUACCAGUGGCGAAG